This 258-nucleotide unclassified non-coding RNA is filed under the name Hevea brasiliensis (rubber tree). Lineage: Eukaryota; Viridiplantae; Streptophyta; Magnoliopsida; Malpighiales; Euphorbiaceae. The record is from RNAcentral.
CCAAGCUUUAUUUGUAAAUUCUCAGGUAUUUCCAUCCUUUUCAUCUCCAUUCUUCAAAUAUUAUUUUGAUGAUUUCUUUCUUCUUGUGAAUAAUGACCUCAACUAAUGGUAGUAUCACAAAUAUGAACAGCUUGAAGCUUGUUUAUUUUGAACUGAAAGAAGAGAUGAAUUUUGUCAUUAUUCAGUCUAUGGUUUCCAUCACCUUAAGAUUACUCAGAUCCCAAAUAUCACAGAAGAAAAUGAGGAGAUGCAUUUAUA